AGGAGAAUUAGAAGGCUUAGAGAUGGAAAAUUCGGAGAAGAAAAGAAUUAUGUCUUCAGAUUUCUGGAGGGGCUAGCUGGUGACUACGAGUCCAGAGAACAUUCACCACGACAUUCAUUAGAAGGGAGGAGUGAAAGGUGUCCACCAGAGCAUCUUCUGAUUCUCCUCAGAGCCCUGUGUGUGAGUUAUAUAAGUCCUCAGGAGCCUGCAGGCCUGGAGCAAAGUCAUGCUACAGGAAGAGAACUACUGACAAUAGCAUCCUGGUACUCCAGGGACCUAAGAGAGACUGCCCGAGACACACUGCUCCAAGGCUGGUGGAAGCUGGAAGUGAACAAGAAAGGUAGCGACUGUGAUAGGACAAGAGGAACCACAGACUGCAAGGAGGACAGGAAGUGCACAGAGCCACCACAAGGUAAUCCUGCAAGCCACUAAGGGAGAUGCCCACAUCCAUGGAGAGUCACCAUGUGAGUCCUGCAGAGGAAGGGACUGUUAUCAGCUGUGCUAGGUGCUAUCUCAGUGUACCCAGGGCAAGCAGGCCAGGUGUCCCAAUGUUUUAAGAUCUUCGUGACUUUCACCAUUGAGCGUUUACUCUUAACACGGCCCACUUACCUUUAAACACUUGCUACAUGUCAGGUAUUAUGGGAUACAAGCCAGGAGGAGCAGUGGUGCAUGCCUGUAAGCUCCAGCAUUUGGAAGGUAGCGACAGGAGGAUGGAAGGUCGAGCUCAUCAUUGGCUACCUAUGGAGCUCUGGGAUAGCCUGUGCUAAAGAAGACCUUGUUCCUCAGCAUAAGCCAAAGAAAACAAGAAAAGAAAAACUCAGAAAACAGAAAAGAAAAUGAACCACAACCUGUGGCCUUUUUUUUUUUUGCAGGCAUGAGGUAGGUAAAAGAAGCAAUUACAAGCUAGGGAUGGUGGCGCAUGCCUGUGAUCCCAGCACUCAAGAGGCAGAGGCUGGUGGAUCUCUGUGAGUUCAAAGCUAGCCUGCUCUAGAUAUCGAGUUCUAGGCUACCCGAAGAUACAAAGUGAGAUCCAAAGAAGAGGAAAGAGAUACGCAGGAAGAGGGAGAGGAAGCAGCGGCUAUUACAGGCCAGGUCAGCCGUAGUGACAUGUCUGGAGGAUGAAGCAAGGGAUGUUUGAGGGCACCCUGAAUGACAUCAUAAGAGUCCUCAGAAAGCAGAAACAAGUCAAAGGGAUGGUUAUUUCUAUGGAAAGAGAGUCAAAGGCAGAUGGUCCGCAGCAUACAAAAAGAAAGUACUUCUAGCUUGGACAUCUGUAACUGAGUGAGACCUAUCCUCUGAGACCCAGCUGGGGCUGGCUAGUGGCUUGCUCCACAUCCC
This 1338-nucleotide long non-coding RNA is filed under the name Mus spicilegus (steppe mouse). RNAcentral describes it as "lncRNA (ENSMSIG00000023694.1)". The record is from RNAcentral. Lineage: Eukaryota; Metazoa; Chordata; Mammalia; Rodentia; Muridae.